GCACUCGCUUCAGCAGCACAUAUACUAAAAUUGGAAUGAUACAAAGAUUAGCAUAGCCCCUGUGCAAGGAUGACAUGCAAAUCUGUGAAGCGUUCCAUAGUUUU
This is a small nuclear RNA of Hippopotamus amphibius kiboko, 104 nucleotides long. The record is from RefSeq and is a predicted model, not a curated record. NCBI's taxonomy places the organism in Eukaryota, Metazoa, Chordata, Mammalia, Artiodactyla, Hippopotamidae.